This 465-nucleotide ribosomal RNA is filed under the name Vreelandella stevensii. RNAcentral's name for it is "partial 16S ribosomal RNA". It matches the Rfam family "Bacterial small subunit ribosomal RNA", at positions 338 to 795 of the family's 1533-position model. Lineage: Bacteria; Pseudomonadati; Pseudomonadota; Gammaproteobacteria; Oceanospirillales; Halomonadaceae. The record is from RNAcentral.
CCUACGGGUGGCAGCAGUGGGGAAUAUUGGACAAUGGGGGCAACCCUGAUCCAGCCAUGCCGCGUGUGUGAAGAAGGCCCUCGGGUUGUAAAGCACUUUCAGUGAGGAAGAACGCCUGGUGGUUAAUACCCAUCAGGAAAGACAUCACUCACAGAAGAAGCACCGGCUAACUCCGUGCCAGCAGCCGCGGUAAUACGGAGGGUGCGAGCGUUAAUCGGAAUUACUGGGCGUAAAGCGCGCGUAGGUGGCUUGAUAAGCCGGUUGUGAAAGCCCCGGGCUCAACCUGGGAACGGCAUCCGGAACUGUCAAGCUAGAGUGCAGAAGAGGAAGGUAGAAUUCCCGGUGUAGCGGUGAAAUGCGUAGAGAUCGGGAGGAAUAACGGUGGCGAAGGCGGCCUUCUGGACUGAAACUGACGCUGAGGCGCGAAAGCGUGGGUAGCAAACAGGAUUAGAUACCCGGGUAGUC